GCCCCCGUAGCUCAGGGGAUAGAGCGUCGGUUUCCUAAACCGUGCGUCGCAGGUUCGAGUCCUGCCGGGGGCGCUA
RNAcentral lists this transfer RNA (76 nucleotides) under Acidimicrobiales bacterium MED-G01. RNAcentral's name for it is "tRNA-Arg". It matches the Rfam family "tRNA". Rfam says of the family: Transfer RNA (tRNA) molecules are approximately 80 nucleotides in length. Lineage: Bacteria; Bacillati; Actinomycetota; Acidimicrobiia; Acidimicrobiales. RNAcentral also lists the same sequence under 1 other name. The record is from RNAcentral.